Molecule: ribosomal RNA, 301 nt
Filed under: uncultured bacterium
Lineage: Bacteria
Description: partial 16S ribosomal RNA
Rfam family: Bacterial small subunit ribosomal RNA
Source: RNAcentral
CAGUAGCCGCGGUAAUACGAAGGGUGCAAGCGUUAAUCGGAAUUACUGGGCGUAAAGCGUGCGUAGGCGGUGAGUUAAGUCUGCUGUGAAAUCCCCGGGCUCAACCUGGGAAUGGCAGUGGAUACUGGCUCGCUAGAGUGUGUCAGAGGAUGGUGGAAUUCCCGGUGUAGCGGUGAAAUGCGUAGAGAUCGGGAGGAACAUCAGUGGCGAAGGCGGCCAUCUGGGACAACACUGACGCUGAGGCACGAAAGCGCGGGGAGCAAACAGGAUUAGAUACCCCCGUAGUCCCUGUCUCUUAUAC